CCCGAUUCAUUUUCCUCCCGGGGGGAAAAAAACAGAAAACAUACGAGAGAGAGAGAGAGAGAGAGAGAUUUCGGACCUUGAAAUCCAGAAGACCCUCCACCUGAUUUCCAAUGCUUAUUCUUGAGGCAAGUCAGGGAUCCUUAAAGAUUGUAUUCUUCAAGGGCUUCAAUUAUUUAAAGCAAUGAAGACAAGGGCAGGCCCUACCCUACCCAAGGGAAUAUGUUCUAAAGAGUGCAUGUAAAAGCUGUGGUUCCACUGAGUGCAUGAGUGCCCUUGGCAAAGGGCACUUCACCCCAACUCAUCAGGGUGGCUGUUCAAAGCCCGACAGCCCCUCCCCCUUUCCCUUAGGUGUAGAUAAUUUCUGUGUAUCCAAAAAACCGUGGUUCCACUAGAAGAAAGCAUAAUCUGUGAGGGUGGGAGCUGAUGAAAAAUGAAAGGGCUUGUCUGAUGAUUAACAAGGCUUUGGAGAAUAGUUCCAUGGCAUAUGAUAUGUGGUGUUCUCUGCAAGUAUGAUGGACCUGGAUUAGAUUGCUACAAAUUAGCAAGGUAGCAACAGAGGUCAUCAAGACUAGGUAUUACAUGACUGACUUUGGUUGUGUUUGUGAAUCUUAAAUUUUGCUGAAAAUGGAGGAAUUAGUGUUAGAAUAAGGCCUGUCAAUAGAUCAGAUUUAAUCUAAAUAACAAAUAUAUGAUCAAUAAUUUGAUAUAAUUCGGAUCUGAUUAACAAUGUUUAGCCCAGACGCAUAUUAAGAUUGGUAAUCCAAAAUUGAAAAAGUGAAUUAAAUUUGGAUUAGAUAAGUGAGUGAUAAAGCUUUUGGAUUGAAACGGAGAAAGCAGAAGCCUCUUUUCGUCUCCUAGUGAUGACUUUUUUUGUUGUUGCUUUUGGUAUUGCUAGGAGGAACUUUUGCCAGAAUACCACCACAACAUCCACACACCACUUCAUAGAUUUGGGAAUCUCAAACUCCCAAACUCCAAUAGCAUAACUAUGACCAAACUUCUCAAAUGAUGUAUCCCCAUUUUCCUAAUGUUUUUGUUUUUGCUUUUUUGGCAAAAAGAAAGGAAAAAUGGUAGGAUCUCUCACUUUCACAGUUCAUAACCCGUUUCAAUACCCGUCACAACCCUUUUUCUUUAAAAUUACUAUUGAAGGUUUUAGAUAUAUGAUACUGUGAUUAAGGAGUGAUUUAGGAAGCUAACUUUUAGCUUUUAACUUUCAACUUAUUUUGGGUUACAUCAUUUUUCAUAUUUUUUACACACAAAAUGACAAAAAUUAAAAAAAAAAAGAAGUUAAAAAACUAACUUUUAACCAACUUUCUAAAUCACCUUUUAAGAGUUGGGCAACUUAAGUAAGUGGUGGAAUGUGAGGGGAAGAGGAAUAAAAUAAUUUUUUUAUAAGUUUGUGUAGUAUAAAAGUUGUGAAAAAUACAAAAAAAUAAAAAAUAAAAAGUUAUACAAUUUAUAUAUGCAUGGUAUCUAGUUUUUUCAUUUGUAAAAACAUACCAAAAAAAAAAAAA
Molecule: non-coding RNA, 1511 nt
Organism: Camellia sinensis
Lineage: Eukaryota; Viridiplantae; Streptophyta; Magnoliopsida; Ericales; Theaceae
Source: RefSeq, a predicted model, not a curated record